Molecule: long non-coding RNA, 1338 nt
Organism: Triticum aestivum (bread wheat)
Lineage: Eukaryota; Viridiplantae; Streptophyta; Magnoliopsida; Poales; Poaceae
Exons: 2
Source: RefSeq, a predicted model, not a curated record
UGCUCUCUCUCUUCUUUCUAACUACUGGUGCCAUUGUUCGGCCGGCGAUGGUUGCUCCUGCUCCUGUUCGUUCUGGACGGCGCCGUCGGGGUCGUCCUCCUGGGAUUCGGGCAGCCGUUAUUGCCCGUGUACGCCGUGCCGGCAUGCCUAUUUCUUCUGCGGAUUCCUCGUCGGUGACGGCAGGCGCUGCUCUGCGUGGUCGGUUGGCUGGGGUCGGUUCAGGACGGCGUUCCCGCUCCGCGGCGGCUCGACGGCCGCUUAGUUCUCGCCGGGCUGGCUGCCAGCGUUCUGACUCGCCGGCGACGUGCUCAGCUCUACACGGAGAUAACCACGUCUGCUUGGCGGUGGCUCUCCACGCCAGCGCCCGUUCCUUCUUCACCCGACGACGAUGGCAGCGCCGUGAUCGCAUAGCCUGCGGCCUUCCACAGCGAGCGGCCCGCCGAUCACGCUCGAGGUCGCCCUGGUAACCGACUUAUCGCCAACGACGUCGAUGAUUGCGGCGAGCUCGCCCACGGAGGGCACCCAGUGCAGCCCUACACCGUUCCACGGUCGUGGAGCGACGGCGUCUGCACCAGACCAGCCCAGAAUACUGCUGCUCCUCUAAGUCGCAGUUCCAGUUUCUCAGAGGGGCGCCACAGUGGGGGGAGACGUCGACGACGCGGCAUGCGGCGCAGAGCAGGGGGGUGCCGCCAGCGGAAGGAGACCGUGUUGCCGUUGUGGAUAUGGCGGUCGCACGGCAAGCAGAGCCCCACUGUUUCCGCCCGGAAGUAUACCACGGCCAGCGCGACGGAGCAUUAGCACUCCGUUGUGGGCACCAUGUCGGCGGCAACCCCUGGCACCAUGCAUGUAUUACUCCACGGAGGGAGUAUGUAAUAGGAGUAGUUUUUAUAGUAAACAGAUGAAGAAUGGCAUGUGCAUGUGGUUCUUGGCUAGAUGCCACUACACGGAGGAUGCGGUGAUCCUGUAUUUUCAUGCAGGUUCAUUGCACUCUACGCGUGCGGCAGUUGCGACACCUCGCAUCUCGAUCGAUCCUGGCAAAGCUAAUUUGUUCGCCGGCAGCCUCUAUGCUAUAGGAGCUAUGCAUAUGUUUCAUGAUUACGGCCUCUCUGAAUUCAGAAUAUAUGAAUAGACCAUGCAUGACCGGGUGUAUACAUCCGUUAGUUCAACUAGCUAGCUAGCAAGGAAAAAGGCAGAACCAAGAAAGAGAUCGCAUGCAAGCCUUUGUUCAGGUGUGUCUGUAGCUCGGUGCUUAGCACUUUUGGCUUUUCUAUAUACGGUGCAGCCGGUUUCGACUUGCAUGUGUAUUCUGAAUUUAGAAUAUAUGAAUGUUUGUCUUCU